RNAcentral lists this ribosomal RNA (402 nucleotides) under uncultured bacterium. RNAcentral describes it as "bacterial SSU rRNA". It matches the Rfam family "Bacterial small subunit ribosomal RNA", at positions 370 to 772 of the family's 1533-position model. The record is from RNAcentral.
AAUGGACGGAAGUCUGAUGCAGCGACGCCGCGUGAGGGAUGAAGGCCUUCGGGUUGUAAACCUUUUUCGCUUUUGACCAAGGCAGCAUUUUGGUGUUGUUGAGGGUAUGAGGUAAAGAAGCUCCGGCUAACUACGUGCCAGCAGCCGCGGUAAUACGUAGGGAGCGAGCGUUGUCCGGAUUUAUUGGGCGUAAAGGGCUUGUAGGUGGCUUGUCGCGUCUGCCGUGAAAUUCCGCAGCUUAACUGUGGUAGUGCGGUGGGUACGGGCAGGCUUGAGUGUGGUAGGGGAGACUGGAAUUCCUGGUGUAGCGGUGGAAUGCGCAGAUAUCAGGAGGAACACCGGUGGCGAAGGCGGGUCUCUGGGCCAUUACUGACGCUGAGGAGCGAAAGCGUGGGGAGCGAA